AGGAAAGACAUAUACACGUAUCAUCGGCUGGGAGAUGGUUUUAUAGUGGUUCAUCUUGCACAACCCUAUAUACUUAGUUCAAUAAGGUUGCUGCUCUGGGGCGACCAUAACCAAUUCUACAGUUACAGAAUUGAAUCUUCUCUCAAUAAUCUAGUAUGGGAUAUGGUUAUAGACAAAUCUAAGGAAUUAACACAAUCUUGGCAAUUGCUGAAAUUUAAUCCCAGACCAAUGCUCUACAUUCGUAUUACUGGCACUCGCAGUUCACCCAGCAAUGUCAAAGAUUUUCGUUGUGUAUAUUUGGAGGGUCCUGCUCAAGUAACAUAAGAUUACAACGUCAUUGAAUAAACACC
Adelges cooleyi (spruce gall adelgid) is the source of this 350-nucleotide long non-coding RNA. RefSeq lists it as uncharacterized. The transcript is spliced from 3 exons. The record is from RefSeq and is a predicted model, not a curated record. Lineage: Eukaryota; Metazoa; Arthropoda; Insecta; Hemiptera; Adelgidae.